AGGGCGGGACACGUGACAUCCUGUCUGAAUAUGGGGGGACCAUCCUCCAAGGCUAAAUACUCCUGACUGACCGAUAGUGAACCAGUACCGUGAGGGAAAGGCGAAAAGAACCCCGGCGAGGGGAGUGAAACAGAACCUGAAACCGUGUACGUACAAGCAGUGGGAGCACCUUCGUGGUGUGACUGCGUACCUUUUGUAUAAUGGGUCAGCGACUUAUAUUUUGUAGCAAGGUUAACCGAAUAGGGGAGCCGUAGGGAAACCGAGUCUUAACUGGGCGAAUAGUUGCAAGGUAUAGACCCGAAACCCGGUGAUCUAGCCAUGGGCAGGUUGAAGGUUGGGUAACACUAACUGGAGGACCGAACCGACUAAUGUUGAAAAAUUAGCGGAUGACUUGUGGCUGGGGGUGAAAGGCCAAUCAAACCGGGAGAUAGCUGGUUCUCCCCGAAAGCUAUUUAGGUAGCGCCUCGUGAACUCAUCUUCGGGGGUAGAGCACUGUUUCGGCUAGGGGGUCAUCCCGACUUACCAAACCGAUGCAAACUCCGAAUACCGAAGAAUGUUAUCACGGGAGACACACGGCGGGUGCUAACGUCCGUCGUGAAGAGGGAAACAACCCAGACCGCCAGCUAAGGUCCCAAAGUCAUGGUUAAGUGGGAAACGAUGUGGGAAGGCACAGACAGCCAGGAUGUUGGCUUAGAAGCAGCCAUCAUUUAAAGAAAGCGUAAUAGCUCACUGGUCGAGUCGGCCUGCGCGGAAGAUGUAACGGGGCUAAACCAUGCACCGAAGCUGCGGCAGCGAACGUAUCACUUAAAACGCUUAACGUGACGGCAA
Molecule: ribosomal RNA, 828 nt
Filed under: Yersinia enterocolitica
Lineage: Bacteria; Pseudomonadati; Pseudomonadota; Gammaproteobacteria; Enterobacterales; Yersiniaceae
Description: partial 23S ribosomal RNA
Rfam family: Bacterial large subunit ribosomal RNA
Source: RNAcentral